RNAcentral lists this ribosomal RNA (506 nucleotides) under uncultured bacterium. RNAcentral describes it as "partial 16S ribosomal RNA". It matches the Rfam family "Bacterial small subunit ribosomal RNA", at positions 29 to 523 of the family's 1533-position model. The record is from RNAcentral.
AUUGAACGCUGGCGGCAGGCCUAACACAUGCAAGUCGGACGGUAGCACAGAGGAGCUUGCUCCUCGGGUGACGAGUGGCGGACGGGUGAGUAAUGUCUGGGGAUCUGCCCGAUAGAGGGGGAUAACCACUGGAAACGGUGGCUAAUACCGCAUAACGUCGCAAGACCAAAGAGGGGGACCUUCGGGCCUCUCACUAUCGGAUGAACCCAGAUGGGAUUAACUAGUAGGCGGGGUAAUGGCCCACCUAGGCGACGAUCCCUAGCUGGUCUGGGAGGAUGACCAGCCACACUGGAACGGACACACGCGCCAGACUCCUACGGGAGGCAGCAGUGGGGAAUAUUGCACAAUGGGCGCAAGCCUGAUGCAGCCAUGCCGCGUGUAUGAAGAAGGCCUUCGGGUUGUAAAGUACUUUCAGCGGGGAGGAAGGCGAUAAGGUUAAUAACCUUGUCGAUUGACGUUACCCGCAGAAGAAGCACCGGCUAACUCCGUGCCAGCAGCCGCCGUAA